This is a long non-coding RNA of Clupea harengus (Atlantic herring), 590 nucleotides long. The record is from Ensembl. Lineage: Eukaryota; Metazoa; Chordata; Actinopteri; Clupeiformes; Clupeidae.
GACAGAGGCUCCCUACAGAGAACAAUAACAUGGCGGCCGACCAGUGCAAAAGCUGUUAUACCCCCAGCAAAACCAGUGAAUGGCUGGAAGCCAGCGGAAAAUGACCUCAGGCGAAAGAAAAUCAAAACGUCUCAAUCAUGUUUUUUCUUAGAGGAUGGCAGCAUGGGGAUGGUUUUCAAGGCAUACCCAAAAGCAAGAAGCAUUCGAAACGGGAUCACUACAGUGAAGCUACCAAAGCGGGAAGAGAUUUGCUCAACCAAACAGUGGCUGAAGCGAUAUGGAAUCAGGAGUUUGAGGUUGGAUCUUCACAAGCUCAUCUCAGGGCCUGACUGCGUUCACCAUAAGAGACUUGUGCCAGACAGCCAGCAGAAAGGCUCUGCGAAGUACUGCGCCAUUCUUCCAAGCGUGGAGCUGAACGUGAGUGAGAGAUAUAGACAAGACAAAUGGAGAAUACAUAGCCUCCUAAAACUAUUCAUAAUGACAAGAGCAAUGGGAAUGCUUGCUGGCUACAUACUGACACCAUGGUCAAAAUGUCAAAUAUGGACAAUGCACUGACGAGAAGAAGGAGAUAAAUACAAACAGAAAGAGAG